Molecule: ribosomal RNA, 851 nt
Filed under: Gammarus kangdingensis
Lineage: Eukaryota; Metazoa; Arthropoda; Malacostraca; Amphipoda; Gammaridae
Description: partial 16S ribosomal RNA
Source: RNAcentral
GGUGUAAGAAAAUUUUAUAAUUGUACCUUUUGUGUCAGGGAAAUUUAAAAGUGUACAAAGGGUAUAGUCGAUUUUACUGGAUAUUCUUAUUUAAGUGUUAGUUGAAUUUAAUUGUUAAAGUUAUUAAGGGGUGAAAAGUGUACGGCGGUUAUGGUAUCUAAUUGUUUUUAAAUUUUAAAAGGUUAAGCUUUUAAAAUUUUAUGUAUGGUUGUUGUUAGAAAAACUAGGCUUUAGAUUAGCUAUGUUUGUAUGUUGUUUAAAAUAAUUUUUAGAAUUAGUUUGGCUAUAAAAUUAAAAAGACUAUGUUAAAAUUUAUCAAUUUAUAUAAAUAAUGAAUUUAUUGAACAAUAAGUGGAGUUUUAAAAUAACUAAAUAUAAGUUGGAAAGUUUAGCAAAAACAUUUCUGUUUGGUUAAAUAAAAGUAAGGCCUGCCCGGUGUGAAUUAAACGGCUGCAGUAUUUUGACUGUGCAAAGGUAGCAUAAUCAUUUGCUUUUUAAUUGGUAGCUAGAAUGAAAGGUUAAACUAGUUUGUUAAGUUUGUAUAAUUAAUUAAGAAAUUUAAGUAAAGGUAAGAAUUCUUUUAUAGUCUAGGGGACGAUAAGACCCUAGAAGCUUUAUAAAAAGGUUAAUUUUUAGUGGUGGUGUACAAUUUGUUUUACUGGGGUGGUAUUAGUAUAUUAACUAUCAAAGUUUUGAGGGAUUUUUUAUAUAAAAAUAUAACGGUAAAGUUACUCUAGGGAUAACAGUACAAUAUAUUUGGAGAGACCUUAUCGAUAAGUAUGUUUGUAACCUCGAUGUUGAAUUAGAAUAUCUAAGUAGGGCAGAGAACACAAUAGAAGGUUUGUUCAACC